UUGGCCUACGGGGGGCGGCAGUGAGGAAUAUUGGUCAAUGGCCGCAGGGCUGAACCAGCCAAGUCGCGUGAGGGAUGACGGUCCUAUGGAUUGUAAACCUCUUUUGUCAGGGAGCAAAGAGAGUCACGUGUGGCUCAUUGAGAGUACCCGAAGAAAAAGCAUCGGCUAACUCCGUGCCAGCAGCCGCGGUAAUACGGAGGAUGCGAGCGUUAUCCGGAUUUAUUGGGUUUAAAGGGUGCGCAGGCGGAGGUGCAAGUCAGUGGUCUAAUUGCGGGGCUCAACCCCGUACUGCCGUUGAAACUGCA
RNAcentral lists this ribosomal RNA (305 nucleotides) under uncultured bacterium. RNAcentral's name for it is "bacterial SSU rRNA". It matches the Rfam family "Bacterial small subunit ribosomal RNA", at positions 334 to 637 of the family's 1533-position model. The record is from RNAcentral.